RNAcentral lists this ribosomal RNA (768 nucleotides) under Microbacterium arabinogalactanolyticum. RNAcentral describes it as "bacterial SSU rRNA". It matches the Rfam family "Bacterial small subunit ribosomal RNA", at positions 723 to 1487 of the family's 1533-position model. Lineage: Bacteria; Bacillati; Actinomycetota; Actinomycetes; Micrococcales; Microbacteriaceae. The record is from RNAcentral.
AGAUCUCUGGGCCGUAACUGACGCUGAGGAGCGAAAGGGUGGGGAGCAAACAGGCUUAGAUACCCUGGUAGUCCACCCCGUAAACGUUGGGAACUAGUUGUGGGGUCCUUUCCACGGAUUCCGUGACGCAGCUAACGCAUUAAGUUCCCCGCCUGGGGAGUACGGCCGCAAGGCUAAAACUCAAAGGAAUUGACGGGGACCCGCACAAGCGGCGGAGCAUGCGGAUUAAUUCGAUGCAACGCGAAGAACCUUACCAAGGCUUGACAUACACGAGAACGGGCCAGAAAUGGUCAACUCUUUGGACACUCGUGAACAGGUGGUGCAUGGUUGUCGUCAGCUCGUGUCGUGAGAUGUUGGGUUAAGUCCCGCAACGAGCGCAACCCUCGUUCUAUGUUGCCAGCACGUAAUGGUGGGAACUCAUGGGAUACUGCCGGGGUCAACUCGGAGGAAGGUGGGGAUGACGUCAAAUCAUCAUGCCCCUUAUGUCUUGGGCUUCACGCAUGCUACAAUGGCCGGUACAAUGGGCUGCGAUACCGUAAGGUGGAGCGAAUCCCAAAAAGCCGGUCCCAGUUCGGAUUGAGGUCUGCAACUCGACCUCAUGAAGUCGGAGUCGCUAGUAAUCGCAGAUCAGCAACGCUGCGGUGAAUACGUUCCCGGGUCUUGUACACACCGCCCGUCAAGUCAUGAAAGUCGGUAACACCUGAAGCCGGUGGCCUAACCCUUGUGGAGGGAGCCGUCGAAAGUGGGAUUGGUAAUUAGGACUAAGUC